This 218-nucleotide ribosomal RNA is filed under the name Glossina morsitans morsitans. Its description in RNAcentral is "eukaryotic small subunit ribosomal RNA". The record is from RNAcentral. Lineage: Eukaryota; Metazoa; Arthropoda; Insecta; Diptera; Glossinidae.
ACAUAAGCGUGUAAGACACAUUGAUAGCCUUUUCUCGAGUCUGCGGAUUGUGGUGCAUGGCCGUUCCUAGUUCUUAUUACAAAUAGAUGUUUUAACGGUUAAGGUGUUGAAACUUUUAUGAAAUCUGUUUAUAAAAGUGGAGCCGUAUCUGUUAGUUUGUCCAUUUACAGGAGAAAAUAAUGCGAUUGAGCAAUGACAGCUCUGUAACGCCUUUAGAU